UCACUGAGGACAAUGACAGCAAUCAGUCGCUACAUGGAGCUGACCAUCGAGCCUGUGCAGCAGGCAGGCUGCAGUGCCACCAGGCUGCCAGGUGACGGACAGAUGAGCGCCGGAGAUGCGUCCCUGCGGGAGCCCCCGUCGUACCCUCCCGUUCAGGUCAUCCGGGCCCGGGUGUCUUCCGGCAGCUCCUCUGAGGUCUCCUCCAUCAACUCCGACCUGGAGCCUCUGGGAUUCAAGAAAAGGUUCAGUCCACCUUUGUGACAAAAGUACAUUUAUAGACAGCAUCUAGUCAAUUUUUCCCUUCUGUGCUUCCCAGCAUUGCAAGAGACGGGGUAUAAGCUUUAUAGGAAUUCUGCAAGGAGGCUGUUUCUGUCAUUGGAACAGAGUCUGCAUAGUGAAGAACGCCUGUGCCUGGAGCCAGUGCAGUCCUGUGUGGGUGUGCGUGUGCAUGCCCAUGUGUGGGUGUACCUGUGUGGGCCAUGAGAACAGUGCUAAAUGCCAGAUUGCUCUGUCUGAAGAGGGCCAAGUCCCAGGCCCGUGUGUUCCUGUUAAUUCUGUGCCUAAGGCUCUUGAUAACCCAACUGCUUGUUCUCUCUCCAAACUUUCUGGCACCAGCAGAUAAGGGCAUAUUCCCCUGGAUGUCUGCCCUUUUUAAAGCCAAAUCA
RNAcentral lists this small RNA (665 nucleotides) under Pan troglodytes (chimpanzee). RNAcentral describes it as "processed transcript". Lineage: Eukaryota; Metazoa; Chordata; Mammalia; Primates; Hominidae. The record is from RNAcentral.